This 397-nucleotide ribosomal RNA is filed under the name uncultured Vampirovibrio sp. RNAcentral's name for it is "bacterial SSU rRNA". It matches the Rfam family "Bacterial small subunit ribosomal RNA", at positions 355 to 767 of the family's 1533-position model. Lineage: Bacteria; Bacillati; Candidatus Melainabacteria; Vampirovibriophyceae; Vampirovibrionales; Vampirovibrionaceae. The record is from RNAcentral.
UAGGGAAUUUUUGCGCAAUGGGCGAAAGCCUGACGCAGCAACGCCGCGUGAAUGUUAAACCCUUCGGGGUGUAAAGUUCUGUCAGUGGGGACGAACAAAUGACGGUACCCACAGAGGAAGCACCGGCUAACUCCGUGCCAGCAGCCGCGGUAAUACGGAGGGUGCAAGCGUUGUCCGGAAUCAUUGGGCGUAAAGAGUUCGUAGGCGGUUUGUUAAGUCUGGUGUUAAAGCCCGAAGCUCAACUUCGGUUCGGCACUGGGUACUGGCAGACUAGAAUGCGGUAGAGGUAAAGGGAAUUCCUGGUGUAGCGGUGAAAUGCGUAGAUAUCAGGAGGAACAUCGGUGGCGUAAGCGCUUUACUGGGCCGUAAUUGACGCUGAGGAACGAAAGCCAGGGUA